CCUACGGGAGGCUGCAGUGGGGAAUAUUGGGCAAUGGACGCAAGUCUGACCCAGCAACGCCGCGUGAAGGAAGAAGGCUUUCGGGUUGUAAACUUCUUUUAAGAGGGAAGAGGAGAAGAAGGUACCCCUUGAAUAAACCACGGCCAACUACGGUCCAGCAGCCGCGGGAAUACGUAGGUGGCAAGCGUUUUUCGGAUUUACUGGGUGUAAAGGGCGUGCAGCGGGAGAGACAAGUCAGAUGUGAAAACCACGGGCUCAAACUGUGAACUGCAUUUGAAACUGUUUCCCUUGAGUGUCGGAGAGGGAGACGGAAUUCCUUGUGUAGCGGUGAAAUGCGUAGAUAUAAGGAAGAACACCAGUGGCGAAGGCGGAUUACUGGACGAUAACUGACGGUGAGGCGCGAAAGCGUGGGGAGCAAACAGGAUUAGAUACCCCAGUAGUC
This 442-nucleotide ribosomal RNA is filed under the name uncultured bacterium. Its description in RNAcentral is "partial 16S ribosomal RNA". It matches the Rfam family "Bacterial small subunit ribosomal RNA", at positions 338 to 795 of the family's 1533-position model. The record is from RNAcentral.